CUUGCUUUCUUUGUUGGCGACCGGCGCACGGGUGAGUAACACGUAUCCAACCUGCCCUUUACUCGGGGAUAGCCUUUCGAAAGAAAGAUUAAUACCCGAUAGCAUAAUGAUUCCGCAUGGUUUCAUUAUUAAAGGAUUCCGGUAAAGGAUGGGGAUGCGUUCCAUUAGGUUGUUGGUGAGGUAACGGCCCACCAAGCCUUCGAUGGAUAGGGGUUCUGAGAGGAAGGUCCCCCACAUUGGAACUGAGACACGGUCCAA
This 258-nucleotide ribosomal RNA is filed under the name uncultured bacterium. RNAcentral describes it as "partial 16S ribosomal RNA". It matches the Rfam family "Bacterial small subunit ribosomal RNA", at positions 75 to 334 of the family's 1533-position model. The record is from RNAcentral.